CACACCCGGGCUGCCCGUCGCUUGGGAGCGGCGCCCACUGGAAAUGUGGGGAGGAUGCGGCGAGGCGGCCGCGGGUGACCGCUGGCAGCCAUUGUGGCGUGCUCCCGCACUGUCUUCGUGAGUCCCGACGCGCCUCUUGGCGGGGCUGGUUUGGGUCGGUGAGAGCGGAGCCGUGGCUCUGUGGUCCCCUGCAGCCUCCGCGGGGUGCCCUAUAGAGAGGGAGCCGAGCGUGCGUCUCGUCCAGCCCCGCGGGACUGUGGGUCAAAUAUUUCCACUUAACACUGCUUCCAGAGUAAUUUCAUACAAAAUUUAAACAUGGAGCCCCGAAAAUUGGGCUGCCAUAUAUUGGAAUCUACUACAUUGUAAUUUUAUUCACGUAUGGAACACCUGUAUAUACUUUUGAUUCUUGCUACAGAAACACAGUUCUGUAAAUGAAGGCCCAGCCAAAAAACCUUAAGAAGAUAGAGGUAAAAUUUUGCCUCCCCUACAGUUUCUGGUUAUGAGGUUGGGAUUUCAAUGGUUGGGACACUGAGAGAUCCUGGGACAGCUGACAAAAAGCCAG
Molecule: long non-coding RNA, 562 nt
Organism: Mesoplodon densirostris (Blainville's beaked whale)
Lineage: Eukaryota; Metazoa; Chordata; Mammalia; Artiodactyla; Ziphiidae
Exons: 3
Source: RefSeq, a predicted model, not a curated record